AGGGAGGUCAAUUUGCUUUAUUUAAUAUUUUUUCGACUCUGAGUAGAUAGAUGUAGGAUGUAUCAUGUAGGCAUACCCCUAAGCCUAAACCUAGUCUGAUUCCUCAUGUGAAAAUCUGUAUUGACAAACUGAAGUUAAUUGUGGAUGUUCCAGAGAAACUCCUCUCCAUGUCAAAUGAUUGCUUUAGUCAGACUCUAGGUACAGGUGACCAAGUUUUGAAAGCCUUAAGGAAUGUGACAGCUGAGGAAGUGUUUAUUGAGGUCACGAAAUAGCUUGCUGAAGGUUUUCGCAUGGUACUACCGAGACCGCUAUCUGAUGCAGAGACUGUGAUAAGUACAACUGAUGAUGCUCCUCUUCACUACAUGCACAGCGAGAGAACUCUUGGAAUGUUUGAUUUUCAGUGUCACAGAGCAACAGUUAGCUUUAGAGAUGGCAAAGUUACGUUUGUCAUGAACAAGACGAUGACCUGAUUGAAGAAUAAAGAAAAUAAAAAGUAAAGUUCCCCUUUCUAACCUUGUGAUCUAUAUAGCUGAUGAUGGAAGCUUAAGUCUUGGUUAAAGUAUUGCCACAUUCACUUGCGGUUCACUUUUCGCUGCCUCGAAUAAACGUGGAAGUAAAGUUUUCAGUUCUUGCAAUCUUUAAGGCAGAUGUUGUAAAGGUCAUCGGCUUCUGUGCCCAUAGUUAAUAAGGGUGUCAUUUGGCCAGCACAACAACCAACCAUCUUUGCUUUCCCUAACUAUUGUCAGGUACCCAUUAGAACUGGGUGAACUCAGAUGUGCCUUAAAGAUCCUGAAAUAAAAAAUCCCAGUCCACCAGGAUUUGAACCUGGAACCUCUUGGUUCAGAAGCCACUUAACCACUCAGCCACCAUGUUUUUAUAUUGUUGAAAAACAAUGAAGAACCAUUUCUUUUGCUUGUAGAUUAGCUGCCAAGACAAGGCAAGAAAUGAUGGCAUGAGAGACAUUUAUUUACGUUGCUUUUAGAGUGAGGCUAGGGAUGAGGGCACAGCAAAGAGAUGACAAACAGCGUUCUUGAUUAGAGGAGGUUAUAAGAGAUGGUAUUGAAGACCUUAGCAAGAUAUCCCAGAAAGGAAGGCCUACUGUGAUCUGAUUCUGGCCAAGUCUCUAACAAUCAUUGGCAAGACUUCUUCAGCAUAUUUGGACAGAUGACCAACUGGAUACAAUUUUUGAAGGACAAGUAACAAAUGUUCAGGGAACUAACAUGUUUAUUUUAUACAGUUCAGAAACUGAGCUAUUGAGUCACAAAGUAUUAACUCUUUCUCUCC
Long non-coding RNA from Biomphalaria glabrata, 1284 nucleotides. RefSeq lists it as uncharacterized. NCBI's taxonomy places the organism in Eukaryota, Metazoa, Mollusca, Gastropoda, Planorbidae. The transcript is spliced from 2 exons. The record is from RefSeq and is a predicted model, not a curated record.